Molecule: unclassified non-coding RNA, 334 nt
Filed under: soil metagenome
Description: partial contains 5.8S ribosomal RNA, internal transcribed spacer 2, and large subunit ribosomal RNA
Rfam family: 5.8S ribosomal RNA (bases 1-120)
Source: RNAcentral
GAUGAAGAACGUAGCGAAAUGCGAUAAGUAAUGUGAAUUGCAGAAUUCAGUGAAUCAUCGAAUCUUUGAAUGCACAUUGCGCCCGCCAGUAUUCUGGCGGGCAUGCCUGUUCGAGCGUCAUUUCAACCAUCAAGCCCUGCUUGCGUUGGGGUCCUGCGGCUGCCCGCAGGCCCUGAAAACCAGUGGCGGGCUCGCUAGUCACACCGAGCGCAGUAAUACAUCUCGCUUUGGGCGUGCGGCGGGUUCUUGCCGUUAAACACCCCCUUUUUACCAAGGUUGACCUCGGAUCAGGUAGGAAUACCCGCUGAACUUAAGCAUAUCAAUAAGCGGAGGA